This 508-nucleotide ribosomal RNA is filed under the name uncultured bacterium. RNAcentral describes it as "bacterial SSU rRNA". It matches the Rfam family "Bacterial small subunit ribosomal RNA", at positions 1 to 507 of the family's 1533-position model. The record is from RNAcentral.
ACACGACUACGUAGUUUGAUCCUGGCUCAGAUUGAACGCUGGCGGCAGGCUUAACACAUGCAAGUCGAGCGGAGACGUUCGGUCUUAGCGGACGGAACGGGUGAGUAAUACCUAGGAAUCUGCCUAUUAGGUGGGGGAUAACGAAUACGAAAGGUUCGCUAAUACCGCAUACGUCCGUACGGGAGAAAGGGGGGGAUCUUCGGACCUCUCGCUAAUAGAUGAGCCUAGGCCGGAUUAGCUAGUUGGUAGGGUAAAGGCCUACCAAGGCGACGAUCUGUAGCUGGUCUGAGAGGAUGGCCAGCCACACUGGAACUGAGACACGGUCCAGACUCCUACGGGAGGCAGCAAUGGGGAAUAUUGGACAAUGGGGGCAACCCUGAUCCAGCCAUGCCGCGUGUGUGAAGAAGGCCUUCGGGUUGUAAAGCACUUUAAGCGAGGAGGAAGGUUUAUAGGUUAAUACCCUAUAGAAUUGACGUUACUCGCAGAAUAAGCACCGGCUAACUCUGUG